Molecule: non-coding RNA, 25 nt
Filed under: Drosophila melanogaster (fruit fly)
Lineage: Eukaryota; Metazoa; Arthropoda; Insecta; Diptera; Drosophilidae
Source: RNAcentral
UGUUUGCACGAGAAAUUGAUCGAGU